Non-coding RNA from Acanthosepion pharaonis, 95 nucleotides. The record is from the annotation of a GenBank genome assembly. Lineage: Eukaryota; Metazoa; Mollusca; Cephalopoda; Sepiida; Sepiidae.
AAAUACCGGUUUCUGAAAGAUCACAUGAGUUAAGCGACGUCGAGCCUAGUCAGUACCUAGAUGGGUGACCGUUUGGGAAUACCACGUGUUGUAAG